Non-coding RNA from Pelobates cultripes (western spadefoot toad), 207 nucleotides. Lineage: Eukaryota; Metazoa; Chordata; Amphibia; Anura; Pelobatidae. The record is from the annotation of a GenBank genome assembly.
AGUCAGCCCACAUAACCCAUCUUGAGUCCACCCACAAGGAUGAAGUGUGUGUGUGUACUGAAUUUGGUUGUGUGCGUGUAUAGUGGCUGUAGAAUGUGUGUAGUGGAUGCAAAAUGCAUGAGUAAAGUGGAUACAGUGUUUAUAGUGGAUUCCGACUGAAUGUUUGUGUAGUGGAUAGAGAGUGUGUGUAGAGAGGAUGAAUCGUGU